Long non-coding RNA from Oncorhynchus keta (chum salmon), 1816 nucleotides. RefSeq lists it as uncharacterized. Lineage: Eukaryota; Metazoa; Chordata; Actinopteri; Salmoniformes; Salmonidae. The transcript is spliced from 2 exons. The record is from RefSeq and is a predicted model, not a curated record.
GCCACCCCUGGCAGUUUGAUGCUGAUUGACCUCUCACUUCACCUCUUAUUGAAAGAAGCAUUUAUUUUGAUGUUCGGCGGCGCAGUUUUUCAAAUCGAGGACGAUGAAGAGAGAAUGUUAAUGUAGGUUGCGAGAUACAGAAGAAGAAGAAGGACACACAGAAGAAGAAGAGAGAUUCUUUCCACAGUUCCACGAGUUCUUUUCGCGAUUGGCGAAAGCAUCAUAUUUAAAACGUUUUGAAGAUCCAGAGAAGAGGGUCCUGUACCAGCUGUGUUUGAAAACAUUUCCCAGAACUCAGCAUGGUUCUCAGAAAAGGGCUUUCAACAUCUCCUGGAAUAAGGACAAUUCAUGGCUUGAAUAUUCUGUAAAUCAAGAUUCAACCUAUUGUUUCGCCUGUGUGCAUUUUUCUCUGCCCAAUAGACCUGAAUCUGCCUUCACAUCACAGUCGGGUUAUUGUAACUGGAAAAAGGCACUAUUUGAAGAUUCUGGGUUUAAGCUCCAUUCGAAGGCAGAGCAUCAUAUCAAUGCUGUGUAUGCUUGUGUAACAGUAUAAUUUUAAACCGUCCCCUCGCCCAUACCCGGGCGCGAACCAGGGACCUUCUGCACACAUCAACAACAGUCACCCACGAAGCAUCGUUACCCAUCGCUCCACAAAAGCCGCGGCCCUUGCAGAGCAAGGGGAACUACUACUUCAAGUGACGUAACCGAUUGAAACGCUAUUUAGCGCGCACCGCUAACUAAGCUAGCCGUUUCACAUCCGUUACACUUGGAAUCAGCAUAAAAGGGCUAUUGACAGCAACUCAUUAAUGUUAGGCAUCAUAAAUGAGGACCGGAAAAAGUAAGUGGAGGAAAACUGUCCUUACAUUAAAACAAUUGCAGAUGUGCUCCUAUUAACUGCCAUUCAAAACAUAGUGCAGAGAGGUCACCGAGAGUCUGAUGACUCUCACAACCAGAGUGAUUUUUUUUUUUUUUUACAUUUAGAAGAAAUCGCAAAGCAUGAACCUCUCAUAGAGAAAGGGAUGAAUGCAUGUGGCAAUGCUAAGUACACGAGCCACCAAAUCCAGAACAAAAUUCUUGAGGGCUUAGCUGAGAUGGUACAAAGCGAAAUAAUAAGAUGGGUAAAAGAAAGAUACGUUUUUAGUGUAAUUACAGAUGAAACCAGAGAUUGAAAGAAAAGAAGAACAAUGGGGCCAUCCACAAAAGCUUAGAUGCAGCAGGUCUCACAAACAUUAUAAUUGAUUGCCUUGAAAAACAUUGUUCUGGACUACAGAAAUAAACUUGUGGGGCAAGGCUAUGACAGUGCAUCCGUCAUGAGCGGAAAGCAUUCUGGUGUGUCUGUUCGGAUUCAAAAUUGUAUGUGCGCUGUAACGCACAUGGUUUGGUUUUGGUUCUUGCCGAUGCGGUAGAAUCGGUGCCUGAGGCAGUUCACUUUUUUGCUCUCCUGCAGAAGUUUUAUAACUUUCUAUUUGGCUCGUACGUUCAUCUCAAGUGGCUUGUAGUUCAAAAAGAGCUGUAGCCACAGCAGCAGCCCAGGGAACGACAGAGACUUACGGAUGGAAGGUGGGCAUGCAGAUGCAUCACAUGCCGUAAUCUGAGGGACAGGCUUCCAGCAGUUCUGAGAGUGCUACAGGAUAUCAUACUUGAAAAUAGUGGUGAUCGAUUAGUGGAGGCAAGGGGCCUUCUUUCUCAGAUUGACAUUUCAUAGGGCUUUUGGUUACCUUUUUUUUAUAAAUUGCUUGGUGAUGCCAGAUGUCUUUCUGACAUGCUCCAAUCAAGCGCUCUCGACCUAGCAAGGGCUGUGGAUCAAGUAGGUGCC